RNAcentral lists this ribosomal RNA (496 nucleotides) under uncultured bacterium. RNAcentral describes it as "partial 16S ribosomal RNA". It matches the Rfam family "Bacterial small subunit ribosomal RNA", at positions 29 to 507 of the family's 1533-position model. The record is from RNAcentral.
AUGAACGCUGGCGGCGUGCCUAAUCCAUGCAAGUCGAGCGAACAGACGAGGAGCUUGCUCCUCUGAUGUUAGCGGCGGACGGGUGAGUAACACGUGGAUAACCUACCUAUAAGACUGGGAUAACUUCGGGAAACCGGAGCUAAUACCGGAUAACAUGUUGAACCGCAUGGUUCAACAGUGAAAGACGGUCUUGCUGUCACUUAUAGAUGGAUCCGCGCCGCAUUAGCUAGUUGGUAAGGUAACGGCUUACCAAGGCAACGAUGCGUAGCCGACCUGAGAGGGGGAUCGGCCACACUGGAACGGAGACACGGUCCAGACUCCUACGGGAGGCGGCAGUAGGGAAUCUUCCGCAAUGGGCGAAAGCCUGACGGAGCAACGCCGCGUGAUUGAAGAAGGUCUUCGGAUCGUAAAACUCUGUUAUUAGGGAAGAACAAAUGUGUAAGUAACUAUGCACGUCUUGACGGUACCUAAUCAGAAAGCCACGGCUAACUACGUG